This 24-nucleotide non-coding RNA is filed under the name Drosophila erecta. RNAcentral also lists the same sequence under 1 other name. The record is from RNAcentral. Lineage: Eukaryota; Metazoa; Arthropoda; Insecta; Diptera; Drosophilidae.
UAAAGUCAUGUUGUGCUAAAGGGA